CCUGGUACUCUUGCUCUUGGUGCCACUAAGGGCAUCACAAAGGAAAAGGCAAUGAAAGACAAUCUACUUAAAUUUGACGACCUUGAAAAUUUAAAGCUUGCUGAAGAUUUAGCGAAGACGUGCUUUGAAAUGUAUUCAGUCACUUCUACUGGUCUUGCCCCAGAAAUUGCUUACUUCCACACCAAGGAAUAUACUGAAGGUGGGCUUGACGGUGGGAACAAGGGAUCGAAGUUUGUUGAUGACAUAAUAAUCAAGCAUGCUGAUCGUCAUAAUCUUUUGCGCCCUGAAACUGUAGAAUCAUUGUUUGUAUUGUAUCGGAUUACAGAGGACCCAAAAUACCGUGAAUGGGGUUGGCAGAUUUUUGAAGCAUUUGAGAAGUACACAAAGGUUGAAUCUGGUGGGUACAGUUCCUUAGAAGAUGUCACUGAGCUUCCUCCUCGGAGAAGAGACAAGAUGGAGACCUUCUAUUUAGGAGAGACAUUGAAGUAUCUGUACUUGCUAUUUGGGGAUAGCUCUAUUUUUCCUUUGGAUAAGUUUGUCUUUAACACAGAAGCUCAUCCUCUUCCUAUUAAAGGUAACUGAGAGGGACUGAAUGUCUUUUGCAUAUAAAGCAUACAUGUGAAGAAACACUCUUGCAACUUGUAUUUUGGUGGGAAACAGACUACUACUUUUUGAAAUUUUGUUGGUGCAUCAUUCACAUGUUUGGUCCUGGUUCAAAAUGGCGAUCAGUUAAAGUGGUAUCAAGAAAUGUUAGCAGUGCAAUGAGUCAGUUGUUUGAUCUGCACUCAAUUGUCCACAGAGAAGAACAAUUUUUUGGGGAAAUUCAUUCAUAUGGCCCACCAGAUUAUGGCAUGGUUGUAAGAUGUAAUUGUUAACAUUCUUCAUAAUUAUAUGUGGAUGGGGUUCUUUGCUCCGAAAGUACUGGAAAAUUGGAUAAGUAAAUUACAAAAGGUUGCACUUUCACUCGGUACUUUCGGAGCAAAGAACC
Molecule: unclassified non-coding RNA, 988 nt
Filed under: Hevea brasiliensis (rubber tree)
Lineage: Eukaryota; Viridiplantae; Streptophyta; Magnoliopsida; Malpighiales; Euphorbiaceae
Source: RNAcentral